This 66-nucleotide transfer RNA is filed under the name Xenoturbella japonica. RNAcentral's name for it is "tRNA-Ser". It matches the Rfam family "tRNA". Rfam says of the family: Transfer RNA (tRNA) molecules are approximately 80 nucleotides in length. Their secondary structure includes four short double-helical elements and three loops (D, anti-codon, and T loops). Further hydrogen bonds mediate the characteristic L-shaped molecular structure. tRNAs have two regions of fundamental functional importance: the anti-codon, which is responsible for specific mRNA codon recognition, and the 3' end, to which the tRNAs corresponding amino acid is attached (by aminoacyl-tRNA synthetases). tRNAs cope with the degeneracy of the genetic code in two manners: having more than one tRNA (with a specific anti-codon) for a particular amino acid; and 'wobble' base-pairing, i.e. permitting non-standard base-pairing at the 3rd anti-codon position. The record is from RNAcentral. Lineage: Eukaryota; Metazoa; Xenacoelomorpha; Xenoturbellidae.
AGAGGAGUGGCAGAAAUUGUGAUUGGCUUGAAACCAUUUUAUGAGAGUUUAACCUCUUUUCCUCUU